CUUCGGACUUCACGCUAUUGGAUGAGCCCAAGUCGGAUUAGCUUGAUGGUGGGGUAACGGCCUACCAAGGCGACGAUCCGUAGCUGGUCUGAGAGGACGAUCAGCCACACUGGGACUGAGACACGGCCCAGACUCCUACGGGAGGCAGCAGUGGGGAAUAUUGGACAAUGGGGGCAACCCUGAUCCAGCAAUGCCGCGUGUGUGAAGAAGGCCUGCGGGUUGUAAAGCACUUUCAGUAGAGAAGAAAAGCUUAGGGUUAAUACCCCUGAGUCUUGACGUAACCUACAGAAGAAGCACCGGCUAACUCCGUG
This 311-nucleotide ribosomal RNA is filed under the name uncultured bacterium. Its description in RNAcentral is "bacterial SSU rRNA". It matches the Rfam family "Bacterial small subunit ribosomal RNA", at positions 209 to 507 of the family's 1533-position model. The record is from RNAcentral.